Molecule: ribosomal RNA, 434 nt
Filed under: uncultured bacterium
Lineage: Bacteria
Description: partial 16S ribosomal RNA
Rfam family: Bacterial small subunit ribosomal RNA
Source: RNAcentral
AGCGAACGCUGGCGGCAGGCCUAACACAUGCAAGUCGAACGAACCUUUCGGGGUUAGUGGCGGCCGGGUGAGUCACACGUGGGAACGUGCCUUUAGGUUCGGAAUAACUCAGGGAAACUUGUGCUAAUACCGAAUGUGCCCUUCGGGGGAAAGAUUUAUCGCCUUUAGAGCGGCCCGCGUCUGAUUAGCUAGUUGGUUGAGGUAAUGGCUCACCAAGGCGACGAUCAGUAGCUGGUCUGAGAGGAUGAUCAGCCACAUUGGGUCUGAGACACGGCCCAAACUCCUACGGGAGGCAGGAGUGGGGAAUCUUGCGCAAUGGGCGAAAGCCUGACGCAGCCAUGCCGCGUGAAUGAUGAAGGUCUGAGGAUUGUAAAAUUCUUUCACCGGGGACGAUAAUGACGGUACCCGGAGAAGAAGCCCCGGCUAACUUCGUG